This 341-nucleotide unclassified non-coding RNA is filed under the name soil metagenome. RNAcentral describes it as "partial contains 5.8S ribosomal RNA, internal transcribed spacer 2, and large subunit ribosomal RNA". The stretch from base 4 to 118 matches the Rfam family "5.8S ribosomal RNA", at positions 40 to 154 of the family's 154-position model. The record is from RNAcentral.
GAGAGAACGCAGCGAAAUGCGAUAAGUAAUGUGAAUUGCAGAAUUCAGUGAAUCAUCGAAUCUUUGAACGCACAUUGCGCCCGCUAGUAUUCUGGCGGGCAUGCCUGUCCGAGCGUCAUUUCAACCCUCAAGCCCCCGGGCUUGGUGUUGGGGAUCGGCGAGCCUCCGCGCCCGCCGUCCCCUAAAUCUAGUGGCGGUCUCGCUGUAGCUUCCUCUGCGUAGUAGCACACCUCGCACUGGGAAACAGCGCGGCCACGCCGUUAAACCCCCAACUUCUGAACGUUUGACCUCGGAUCAGGUAGGAAUACCCGCUGAACUUAAGCAUAUCAAUAAGCGGAGGA